UGAUAAGAGACAAGAAUUCCUUUUCUCUCCAUAUUUGCCAGGUAGACACCAUUUUCCUGAGUGGUGGACGAUCGCCGCGACGCCGCACACGUGCGACAAUUGCUACAGUGUUUUCCUGCAUAGUUUUUUUUCCUUUCGUUUUUUUUAUGAUUUUUUUCAAAGUUAUAUUUAUUGGUUUUAUUUUUUUAAUAUUGAGUUGGUUGAGAAUUACAAUUGUAUAUUUCCUCACAAAACACUAUAGAUUGCUGCAGUGUUUCCCUACAUGAUUUUUUUUCCUUUUGUUUUUCUUAUGAUUUUUUUUAAAAUUAUCUUUGUCUAUUUUAUUUUUUUAAUAUUAAGCUGGUUGAGAAUUUAGUUUUGUAGUUUAAUUUUUCUUGGAAACAUUGUGGAU
RNAcentral lists this long non-coding RNA (391 nucleotides) under Populus trichocarpa (black cottonwood). RNAcentral describes it as "long non-coding RNA (PTRI_LNC000149)". The record is from RNAcentral. Lineage: Eukaryota; Viridiplantae; Streptophyta; Magnoliopsida; Malpighiales; Salicaceae.